RNAcentral lists this ribosomal RNA (325 nucleotides) under uncultured bacterium. RNAcentral's name for it is "bacterial SSU rRNA". It matches the Rfam family "Bacterial small subunit ribosomal RNA", at positions 28 to 329 of the family's 1533-position model. The record is from RNAcentral.
GACGAACGCUGGCGGCGCGCCUAACACAUGCAAGUCGAACGGAGUUAAAUUUCUGAAGUUUUCGGAUGGACGAAGAUUUAACUUAGUGGCGAACGGGUGAGUAACGCGUGGGUAACCUGCCCUUUUAGAGGGGGACAACAGUUGGAAACGACUGCUAAUACCGCAUAAGACCACAGUACCGCAUGGUACAGUGAUCAAAGGAGCAAUCCGCUAAAAGAUGGGCCCGCGUCUCGAUUAGAUAGUUGGUGGGGUAACGGCCUACCAAGUCGACGAUCAGUAGCCGGACUGAGAGGUUGAUCGGGCCACAUUGGGACCUGAGACACGG